AUUGCCUUAGUAACGGCGAGUGAAGCGGCAAAAGCUCAAAUUUGAAAUCUGGCACCUUCGGUGUCCGAGUUGUAAUUUGAAGAAGGUAACUUUGGAGUUGGCUCUUGUCUAUGUUCCUUGGAACAGGACGUCACAGAGGGUGAGAAUCCCGUGCGAUGAGAUGCCCAAUUCUAUGUAAAGUGCUUUCGAAGAGUCGAGUUGUUUGGGAAUGCAGCUCUAAGUGGGUGGUAAAUUCCAUCUAAAGCUAAAUAUUGGCGAGAGACCGAUAGCGAACAAGUACAGUGAUGGAAAGAUGAAAAGAACUUUGAAAAGAGAGUGAAAAAGUACGUGAAAUUGUUGAAAGGGAAGGGCUUGAGAUCAGACUUGGUAUUUUGCGAUCCUUUCCUUCUUGGUUGGGUUCCUCGCAGCUUACUGGGCCAGCAUCGGUUUGGAUGGUAGGAUAAUGACUAAGGAAUGUGGCUCUACUUCGGUGGAGUGUUAUAGCCUUGGUUGAUACUGCCUGUCUAGACCGAGGACUGCGUCUUUUGACUA
RNAcentral lists this ribosomal RNA (531 nucleotides) under Debaryomyces hansenii. Its description in RNAcentral is "partial large subunit ribosomal RNA". It matches the Rfam family "Eukaryotic large subunit ribosomal RNA", at positions 74 to 610 of the family's 3401-position model. The record is from RNAcentral. Lineage: Eukaryota; Fungi; Ascomycota; Pichiomycetes; Serinales; Debaryomycetaceae.